GACGAACGCUGGCGGCGUGCUUAGCACAUGCAAGUCGAACGGAAAGGCCCUGCUUUUGUGGGGUGCUCGAGUGGCGAACGGGUGAGUAACACGUGAGUAACCUGCCCUUGACUUUGGGAUAACUUCAGGAAACUGGGGCUAAUACCGGAUAGGAGCUCCUGCUGCAUGGUGGGGGUUGGAAAGUUUCGGCGGUUGGGGAUGGACUCGCGGCUUAUCAGCUUGUUGGUGGGGUAGUGGCUUACCAAGGCUUUGACGGGUAGCCGGCCUGAGAGGGUGACCGGUCACAUUGGGACUGAGAUACGGCCCAGACUCCUACGGGAGGCAGCAGUGGGGAAUAUUGCACAAUGGGCGGAAGCCUGAUGCAGCAACGCCGCGUGCGGGAUGACGGCCUUCGGGUUGUAAACCGCUUUCGCCUGUGACGAAGCGUGAGUGACGGUAAUGGGUAAAGAAGCACCGGCUAACUACGUG
This 468-nucleotide ribosomal RNA is filed under the name uncultured bacterium. RNAcentral describes it as "partial 16S ribosomal RNA". It matches the Rfam family "Bacterial small subunit ribosomal RNA", at positions 28 to 507 of the family's 1533-position model. The record is from RNAcentral.